GGUUAUCAACAACAACAACGUCAUCCUGAGCACGGACGUUGCACAGCUCACCGGCUGUACUCAGCUACAUUCAAAUGGUGCCGUUAGCAACGGUCAUAGCGGUCCCUCAGCUGGUGGUGACAGCGGUAAUGGUAACGGAGAUACCGUUAAUAAUGGCGGUAACGGUGUUACCGGUAACGGGGAAGCGGUUACCAGCUUCGGGGAGAUCCUCGUGUACGGAGCGAACCUCGCGCUGGGAUACGUGCGCGUCGGCCACGCUGACAGAUUCUUGGACGUCUGCGUUGACGGCAAGACAGAGCUGGUGUACCGCACCGGCGACUAUGCAACCUGCCACAGCUCUGGCACUCUGCUGUACGAGGGCCGCACGGACGGACAGAUCAA
Molecule: long non-coding RNA, 381 nt
Organism: Hyalella azteca
Lineage: Eukaryota; Metazoa; Arthropoda; Malacostraca; Amphipoda; Hyalellidae
Exons: 3
Source: RefSeq, a predicted model, not a curated record